This 328-nucleotide long non-coding RNA is filed under the name Bos taurus (domestic cattle). RNAcentral describes it as "long non-coding RNA NONBTAT018703". The record is from RNAcentral. Lineage: Eukaryota; Metazoa; Chordata; Mammalia; Artiodactyla; Bovidae.
UUCAUUUCCUGAACUGCUGAAUCGUUUAUGGCACGAGAACCUUAACAGUUUUUUGCAAACCACAAUCUGACUUUGCAAGGCAUGUGCAGUUUACAUCAGGCUAUAGCAGAGAAGGAAAGGUGGUUGGUGACAUGCAACUUCUCUGAGUGGCCUUUGCUGGGUAACAUUUAGUGAAUUGUCAUCUAGUCACAUGUCUGUGUCCCUUCUCUGGAACCUUGACACAAUGCCCACUUAUUGCCUGGCUCCUAGGUGAGACAGGACACACUUCCACCACCCUAUUAAGCAUGGCUGAUAUUUCUGUUUUGCUGCUAUUAACUGGAGAUCUCUA